Molecule: ribosomal RNA, 468 nt
Filed under: uncultured bacterium
Lineage: Bacteria
Description: partial 16S ribosomal RNA
Rfam family: Bacterial small subunit ribosomal RNA
Source: RNAcentral
GACGAACGCUGGCGGCGUGCUUAACACAUGCAAGUCGAACGGAAAGGCCCUGCUUUUGCGGGGUGCUCGAGUGGCGCACGGGUGAGUAACACGUGAGUAACCUGCCCUUGACUUUGGGAUAACUUCAGGAAAAUGGGGAUCAUACCGGAUAGAAGCUCUUGCUGCAUGGUGGGGGUUGGAGAGUUUCGGCGGUUGGGGAUGGACUCGCGGCUUAUCAGCUUGUUGGUGGGGUAGUGGCUUACCAAGGCUUUGACGGGUAGCCGGCCUGAGAGGGUGACCGGCGACAAUGGGACUGAGAGACGGCCCAGACUCCUACGGGAGGCAGAGGGCGGAAACAUGGCACAGUGGGCGGGAGCCUGAUGCAGCAACGCCGCGUGCGGGAUGACGGCUUUCGAGUGAAAAACCGCUUUCGCCGGAGCCGAAGCGGGAGUGACGGUAAUGAGUAAGGAAGCACCGGCUAACUACGUG